RNAcentral lists this ribosomal RNA (493 nucleotides) under uncultured bacterium. Its description in RNAcentral is "partial 16S ribosomal RNA". It matches the Rfam family "Bacterial small subunit ribosomal RNA", at positions 28 to 507 of the family's 1533-position model. The record is from RNAcentral.
GACGAACGCUGGCGGCGUGCUUAACACAUGCAAGUCGAACGGUGAAGGGACCGGUUUUUGCUGGUUCUGGAUGAGUGGCGACCGGGUGAGUAACACGUGAGUAACCUGCCCCCUUCUUCUGGAUAACCGCAUGAAAGUGUGGCUAAUACGGGAUAUUCUGCGCCUGCUGCAUGGUGGGUGUGGGAAAGAUAUUGUUUCGGUGGGGGAUGGGCUCGCGGCCUAUCAGCUUGUUGGUGGGGUGAUGGCCUACCAAGGCGGUGACGGGUAGCCGGCCUGAGAGGGUGGACGGUCACACUGGGACUGAGACACGGCCCAGACUCCUACGGGAGGCAGCAGUGGGGAAUAUUGCACAAUGGGCGCAAGCCUGAUGCAGCGACGCCGCGUGAGGGAUGGAGGCCUUCGGGUUGUAAACCUCUUCCGCCAGUGAAGCAGGCCUGUCCCUUUUGUGGGUGGGUUGACGGUAGCUGGAUAAGAAGCGCCGGCUAACUACGUG